CCUCGAUCAGCUUCCUAAUUUGUGUCCCAAGUCAAUCUGAACAAGGCAUUCAAGACUGUCUUUAAGGAGUUAUCCUCUGCUGUGGCUAGUGGCUACCUGGUGUUUGCAAAAUCUCUCUGUACUUUGCCUCGCAGUUCGCAGUUUCACAGUUUACCUAGAAGAGCUAUGAUAUUUCAGGAAAUGGUAGCAUUCUGCACCUGAAGGAAAAUGAACAAAGUAAAUCUCAGUUGGUGUUGUAACAGGGCACAAGACUCAGAAACAACAUAACUGUGUUUUUUUUCAUUUUUUUUUCUUUCUUUUUUUUUUUUUUUUUUUUUUUUUUUUUUUUUUUGCUUUCAAGUAGACUUGAAAAUUUGGUGUGAGAAAUGAAAAGCUGAUUUCUUCCUUCUGCAUGCAAGUAUGGUGGUCCUGAAGAGCUCCCAUCACAGCUGCAAGUGGUUAGGAAGCACUCAUUGAUGCUCAUUGUUCCGUUCAGCCUAUCCAGCACCUCUUGAGGCUAUAAAUGUGAUAUAUUGGAGUUGAUGUGGAAUAUAAUCUACUAUUCAGAAGUGUGUUUAUCCAGUCCAGGUACAAAGAGUUCCAAAACCCAUUGGUUGCUGUGGUAUGUGGAAAGAGAGGUGAAUGAUGCACAGUGUAACAUUUGAGGAAAUAUUUCCAAG
Molecule: long non-coding RNA, 659 nt
Filed under: Coturnix japonica (Japanese quail)
Lineage: Eukaryota; Metazoa; Chordata; Aves; Galliformes; Phasianidae
Description: lncRNA (ENSCJPG00005000895.1)
Source: RNAcentral